UGUGGCACGUGUUGAUUAUUUGUACAACUUAAUAAGACAACUCAAAUGUAAAAUACAGAGAAAGUACCACCGAAGUAUUCUGAGUUAGUCCGACUUUGGGUCAGGAACGCAACGCCGACGGUAGAAUAUGCUCAGACCUCAGUUCGCCCUUCACGGCAAGACCGUAUUCCCCAGACGAGAGACGCUAGCAAACCAAACCAAACCAAACCAAACCAAACGAGGAAGAAACUUCAAAUCCCCCUCCCUGUUUCCUCUCUCCACACCUCCGCCAUGAACGAUCGACGAGCCGGCAGACCCAAGGUUUUCAGGCGUCGUCUGCGAUUCUCGGUUCCUUUUCGGUUGUUCCCCUCUCCGCGAGUUGGCCGUCCCCAAGGAAUGCGUAAGCUUUAGGUUUACUCUGUUGAUGUGUGUUGUGUUCUAUGCAAGAUAUUACAGAGGAAUUGUCGUUCGUAACAGGGUGGUAUAGUGCUGCUCCCCUAAAUUAAUUGCGGUGAGGCUUAAGUAGCCUAUUAAUCAUGAUUUUGUGUUCCUAUUGGUGAUUAUAGGUAUUUAGGGCAUUUGUGUUUGUCGAUUGUGCUCGGGAGGUUGGUGCUUGUGUUAUGAUAGGGCUAUAGUCAUGGUAAGAUUAGCCAGCAGUUCAAGCCCUAUCCGGAACGCAGGAAUUUGCAUGUACUUAGUUGUGGAACAGUUCGAUUCCGCAAAAACCUAGAGUUGUGUUCCCUGUUUGAGUAAAUGAUGCCACGGAGAUGUGUGUAGCUUUAUAUUCUCAUGUUCGAUUACGUCUUCCUUGUGAUCAGCUAGCUGUAUUAUGCUAAAAAAUAUUCUUCCCUGACUGCUUCAGUGUUCUCUUUCCCCCGAACAGUGUAUGUCUCUUAGGAUUGUUACCUUGCUUUAUGAUUAUUAGAUGUGUUGUCUAUAUGAUUCUCUAUGCUUAUUCUUCCUAUUUCGUUAAUGAGUUUAGCUCUUGAUCUGAAAUUCUGAAGCUAUUGUGUUUUCAUUGCUGUGGUUCAAGUUCUGGAAAUUAUUGCCAUUGAAGUACCAUUUUAUUGUCUCACCACUGGCAGAAUUGUGUAUUCAGUCUACCCUAUGUCAGUCCAUAUAGGUUUAGCUACAUAUAAAUUGUUAAUUUUUAUUGUUUUGGAAUUAGGUUCUCUGGAGUUCUCUUUGUUGCCCAACAGAGUUCAUGGUGCGAUGACAUUCUCAUGUGUAUGUUUCUAAUUCAACAAUCUGGCUCUGAUCUUUGCUUUUGGACUCAGAGUUCAUUUUGUUUGGGAACUGCAUAAUGUGUUUGAUUUAAAUGAAUUGUUGAGAUCAAAAUCCACAAGAUAGAUGAACUGAGUAUAUGUUAAGCUCACAUGCGUAGAACACCACUUGGAGCAUCAACUUAGUUCUAGAAUCGGCCAUAUGCUUCUUUUCCAUUUGAGUUGCUUUAAUUUUUUCUGACACAUACAACAGGGAUAUUCCCUGCUCCCAACAUAAAAUUUGUUCAUGUAAGUAAAACCAGCAUACUGCAAAACUCCACAGUUGCCGCUAGGUUAACAAGUGUAGGUUUGAAACAGAGGGAAGAGUAGAAAAUUAGAUUAGAUAAAACCUUGCGGUGCUAUACCUUGAUCAUUCUAUAACACUGGUGCAGCAUCUGGCCCAAAUACCUCAGGAGUCUAUCUGUACUUUUAUUAAUCACUACUGUAUUGGUGCACAUAUAUUGAGAAAUGAAACUUCCGCCGCGGAUGUUUUAGUUUUCUGUUUUUAUUGUUGAAAACACGACCGCUUCUUGCAAAACCUGUUUAACAGUUCAUUGGAUGAAAUUGUGUCACAUGCCUUAUUUAGUUUGGGAAUGGGAGGUACUAACCUCCUGUCGGAGUUGAGCAGUGUCCGUUCGAAAAGAAAUAUUUUGCUUGUCUUUUACUGAUCGGUUGUGUAUUUGCAUAUGAAUUGAAGCACUAGGGGGUAAACCAAGAAGGUAGAUAGCAUACAGUUCUUCACUAGGACAGUGACAACAGUGACUGUCUGUUAUCCCUACUGUUCCCGGUCAUCUCUCUUUUCUUUUAAUUUCCACAACAUGUCAACAUUCACAAUCUUUCUGACUACUCCGAUUCCUAUUUAUCAAUGGACACAAAGUCACAAACAAGAGCUUUACGACUUCACGUUUUAAAACCAGUUAAAUCAUAUAUCUUUUUUUUUUCUCAUGAUCCUGUUCUUCUGAACAUAUUAGCUGGAAGCAUCACGAGUUUGUUAGUUUUGUACAGACAAGUGUGCUUGGAUUUUUGUUUGAGAUUGCAGCUAUAUGUAUCUUCGUGUCAUUUGUUUCAUGAAUGUUCUUAUAUGCCCUCAAAAUAACUUCUGUUAAUUAUGUUCAGUACUGAUGAAUUUUCAUUGACUGUUUUGAAGACUGUCAUUUUCAUGUUAAGUUUGUACUCUGUAACCUCAUAAAUUGCAAUAUAUUUGUUUGGCUAUUUUCUGUUAACAACAUGUACCCCUGUUCUUUCAUGUGCAAUUUGCAAUCAUCUUUCCAACCACCGUUCCCUUAGAUGUUACUCCCUCUGUUUCUAAAUAUAUGACGUUUUGGUAGUUCAAUUUGAACUACCAAAACGUCAUAUAUUUAGGAACGGAAGGAGUAGAACCUAUCAAUUUGUCUAUUCCAAAAUAUUUCUUUUCUAAGGUGUAGCGUCCAAGAGCUUGUCUUCAUUUAGUAUGCUUCAGUUUGUCUAUUAUUAACUACUCUCUCCAUUUCAAAUUAAUUGAAAUUCUAGCUUGUCCUUAUUCAGAUUUGACCAAGUCUAGAAAAAUAUAUCAAGACCUACAACACUAAAUUAGUUCCAUUAGAUUUUUUGCAAAAUGUAUUUUCGUAUUAUAUAUAUUUGGUUAUAUUGGUAUUGUAGAUGAAAGCGUAUUUUUCUAUAGACUUGGUCAAACUUAAAGAAGUUCCAUUUAGACAACCUAGAACUUCAAUUAAUUUGGAAGGGUCAGAGUUUUGGUUUCUAGGAUUUAGUGUCCUGAGCUUGUCUUCAGUUUGCUACUCUUCCAUUAUACUUCUUGCAAGUAUAAAUGAUAUUGUUUCUUCACUUGAUAUUUGCUAGUAAGUGCCUUUUUUAUUUCCAUGUAUGAAAAAAAUGGUUUUCAACUCAUAUAUGGUACUCUUAUCUCUGUUUUGAUGUCAAAUGAACCAUGGAAUCUUUGCGUAAUUUCUUGUUUUUAUUAAUGUGAUAUGUAUCAGCAUCAAGCCAUCAAUACCUGGACUGGGACCACAAUGUGUAGAGGGGUCUGGGCUGAACAUGCAACUGCAGUAUUGUGUGAUGCUAAAUAUUCAUUCAUCCUGCUUUGUCCAUAUUGCAUUUGGGAUCAUCGUAGAGGUUCAUCUGAGUGCCAUUUGGAAUUACUGUUGUGCUUCUAAUUUCAAAGAUGUGCUGAAUCCAUGCUAAAAGACUGCUGGGAUAUAAACCAAAACUUAAUGCUG
RNA transcript from Hordeum vulgare subsp. vulgare (domesticated barley), 3454 nucleotides. RefSeq lists it as uncharacterized. The transcript is spliced from 4 exons. Lineage: Eukaryota; Viridiplantae; Streptophyta; Magnoliopsida; Poales; Poaceae. The record is from RefSeq and is a predicted model, not a curated record.